AUGGAACGUGGAGGUGGAGGACCCCUCCUUUCGACCCUAGUCCUGGCUUCCCUCGGGGAUGGGGAGGCCAGAGGAUCUGGGAAAAACACUGCUCCCUUCACUGAACGCCACUAUGUAGCAGCGUCCACCAAAAGAGAUAAAGUGACGAAACGCUGCAAAGCUGCGGGGCGGGAGGAAGUUGGGUUUGCUCCUACCGACUCCCAAGAGGAAGUGCGAUCGGGAACCUCCUAUAUACUUCCGUUUGCGGCGCGGCUUCUUUCUUUCUUCCCGUGCCGAUAUCGCUCUUGCAAGCAUGGUUAACGUCCCUAAAACCCGCCGGACUUUCUGUAAGAAGUGUGGCAAGCACCAACCCCACAAAGUGACACAGUACAAGAAGGGCAAGGAUUCUCUGUAUGCCCAGGGAAAGCGGCGUUAUGACAGGAAGCAGAGUGGCUAUGGUGGGCAAACUAAGCCGAUUUUCCGGAAAAAGGUGAGUGGUAAUUACUAUUUGACGUUUCCCACUUAAUUGCAGUAAGGAUGUAUACUUGUCUCUAGUCCACACACUUCAUUAUAUAGGUAUAGCGUUAGUUUAGCGAAGUUUUCACAGUUGACUGCAGUGAUAUAUCUAGUAGGUGAUGGAGCUGGGAAUGCAACUCAGGUCUGAUUAGUCCACAAUACUGCACUAUUUCAGUGUUUACGAUUUUUUAUCCUUUCCCCUCUGAAGAGGCAAAAAAUUGAGGAAUGUGCCCUGCUUUCCUAAGAACUGAGGUGUGAGUACGCUUGUAAAUCCUUUCAUUUGCUUUGUUCCUUAUCUGUCAUCAUGUCUGAAUCCUCGACUGUUGGUUGCACUAAGUUCUGUUGUUUCUCAUCACAGAAACCUGCAGUCAGCUACCUGUUCUCGUGAAGUCUUAAAACUCUUAUAGAAUAGCCAUUUAGGCCUGUCUGCUAGCCUCCUGAAUUCUAUAUUCUCAGGCUGAGCGAGUUUCUGUUUAUUCUCAAACCUUAGGUGAUUUGGCUAACCAUUAAAGUAAUUAGCACGAUGAUUGGAACCGAGCAUUCUCUCCAACACAGCAUUUCUUUUGGCACUUUGCCUCUCAUGCAGUUUAGCUCCAGAAAGUAUUAAGGAAUGACUUUAGUGCUCAUUUGGAUGCAGUAAGUGGUUUGGUCUCAGGGUGGCAGAAGGAAUGCUUUUUAUACCUUUUUACAUUUGGAUAACUUGUUUAGAAGACAGGUUCUAACUAGGUUUUGGCCUGUUAAGAACUGCAAGCUAGCAGCAGUAGCAGAACUCUUGCUAAAGGGGCAAGCUUAUUAAGAAAUUUGAGUAUUUAAAAAUUGACCUACCAUAUGAUCCAACAAUCCCACUGCUGAGUAUAUACCCAGAAGAAAAUCAGCAUAUCCAAGAGAUACCUGCACUCCUAUGUUUGUUGCAGCACUGUUUAUAAUAGCUAAGAUUUAGAAGCAACCUUAGUGUCCAUCAGGGGAUGAAUGGAUAAAGAAAAUGUACCUAUAUGCAGCCAGGCGCAGUGGCUUGUGCCUAGCACUUUGGGAGGUCGAGGUGGGUGGAUCACCUGAGGUCAGGAGUUUGAGACCAACCUGGCCAAGAUGGUGAAACCUCGUCUCUAGUAAAAAUACAAAAAUUAGCUGGGCGUGUGGUGCGGGCCUGUAAUCUCAGCUACCCGGGAGGCUGAGGCAGGAGAAUCGCUGGAACCUGGGAGG
RNA transcript from Piliocolobus tephrosceles (Ugandan red Colobus), 1695 nucleotides. RefSeq lists it as uncharacterized. The record is from RefSeq and is a predicted model, not a curated record. Lineage: Eukaryota; Metazoa; Chordata; Mammalia; Primates; Cercopithecidae. The transcript has 4 exons.